Molecule: long non-coding RNA, 216 nt
Filed under: Panax ginseng (ginseng)
Lineage: Eukaryota; Viridiplantae; Streptophyta; Magnoliopsida; Apiales; Araliaceae
Description: long non-coding RNA (PGIN_LNC018649)
Source: RNAcentral
CUCUAUCUAUACCUCUAUUUUUAACUUAGUCAUGCAAGUAUUAUCAAUCUUUCACCAACUCCCCUAAUAGUAAAUAAUGUGAUUCAAUAGUACACAUAUAUGAACAAAUAGUUAUAUAAGCAUGUGAAUUAGUAGCAAUUAAUUGCUCAUUUAUCCGAUAAAUUACCCGAUUUAUCAAUAUAACCCCUAGACAUCAAUUAUCAUCGGAAUAAAUGU